This 5560-nucleotide unclassified non-coding RNA is filed under the name Leishmania donovani. RNAcentral's name for it is "gene:LdHU3.20.0820(CDS-product:Quinonprotein_alco hol_dehydrogenase-like_protein_putative)". The record is from RNAcentral. Lineage: Eukaryota; Euglenozoa; Kinetoplastea; Trypanosomatida; Trypanosomatidae.
CGACGGGCGAUAACGUCACCACGGCAGCUUUGUUGGUUGCAUUCGUUGGUGCGCCCGGACUUGCGCGCGUCGGGGAAGGAGGGACGACGGCGCAGACCAAAAACAAAACACCCAAUGCAAGCCGCAUAGGCUCCCUCCCCACUAACGCUUCGCUAGAGGAGGUGGUGGCUGAGGCGUCAACACGCCUUCUCGCAUCUCUCGGCGCUGACUUACUGGCGGCACAAGCACCAGCACACGCACAGAUCGCUACGCGAGCACGCACCGACUGCAGUCGCCUCUACCCUCCCUCGCUUUUAUCGUAGCCGACCGGCUUCUCUUUUGCCAACCUCUCUUGUUUUUUUUUUUGCUUUGGUCUUGAGAAGGCGCCGCAUCGCCGGAGCCGCUCUCGACUGCCCCACCGAAGGGCUGAGCUCGUGUCGUACGGCAGCUGCAGGGCAAAAGCUCCUAUGUCGUCUUCGACUUCUCGGUUGCCCUACUCUCACGCGCAUGCAGCGCACACCGACUCAACAGCGGAUGCACGUCGACGAAAAAGCGAUGCGGCUGAUAGGCCAUUGGUGGUGAGUGCUGGUAGCGCCAUGCGCCAGUCGAUGACGCCGUGUGCGCCGGCUGCGUCUCUGGCCUCCGCCUCGUCCGACCCAAAACCCUUUCUGCGGCAGCGCCGUCUGCCCUCCAUCCUACUUGACAGCUGGGAGUUCCGCAAGCUGGCCGCUGAGGGGUCAGUUCUCGCCAACGCCAUGGUCUCGUACGACGUCGACGGCGACGGGCUCGAGGAAGUGAUUGUGGGCACAACGGAGGGCCUGUUGUGCGUCGUAAAGCCUGACCACCGCGAACCGCUCUUCCUGCGAGUGCUCGCGGCGACCAUCUCCGUGGUGCUGUACACACCCAUUCAGAGCCGCCUCGUCCUCGUCACCCUUGAAGGGCAGUGCGAGGUCAUUGACCACUUCCUGAAGCCGACCCAGAAACAGCAGGCAGGCAGUGAGCCCGCCAACAUGAACGCGACCUCGCCCACGGAGGGUGGUGAUGGUGGCGCUGCAAGCGUGGGCGGGCCGCGGUAUCAGAGAACCGACAGCACCAGCUCACUGCCGCGCACUUCACCGCCUCUUAACGGCGGUGGUCGUACAGCUGGAGGUGCUCGCGCCGUCGGUGGGGGCGCCACCGCCUCUCCACACUCCGCAGGUAGGCCCUGGGGUGCUGAAAGUGCCAUGCCCACCCGCGUCUUUCACGUGCCGUCCAACUGCCUCUGCGCAGACCUCUCACCGGACAGAGACUCCGACCUUGUCUUCCUCGGCUCUUACGAUCGACGCUUCUACGUGUAUUCCAUCAUCAAUGGCUCGUGUCUGCUCUCCCUGUUCGUGCACGACCCCAUUACGUCAGUGAAGGCGUUCGCUAUUCCGACGUGCGCUGCAGACACGCACCCGGCCACCACCUUGUCGCCCAUCUCCGUCUGCGGCAAGCGAGUCUCUAAUCGGGGAAGCAGAUGCGGGAGUACUACGGGGUCGCAGAGAACACGCGCUAGCAGCAGCACCGGCACCGGUGCCUCGAUACUGGUCGACUCCCCGCGCGAAAUGGAAACGACGUCGGACAGGCCGGCAAAGGCCUCCGCGUUAUCCUAUAUUCCGCUCGUGUUUAUUUCUACCCCGACGCAUCUCAUCCUCCUUCCUGCCGGGCUGGGCGAUAUCCAGCAAUGGCGCAAGCUGCAGCCCAAGUCAGCGCACCUGCCCUUGACUGUGCAGCUCCGUAGCGACGAUCCACCACUAACGCCGCAUCCGCCACAGCAUUCGAAGCAGCAGCAAGCGCAGCGCAAACACACUGGCCGGCGUUCCUCGUUGAACGGCGGCGGCGGAGCAGCAAACAUGAGCGCAGCUUUGGCGACGUCGGCCACUGUGCAUCUUCGCAGUGACGACAGCCACCCACGCGAGGGUGAGAGUGCCGUCCCGCCCCAUAUGACGCGCGUGCCACCGGCUAGCUUGCCCAGUCUGCGCCAGCCUCUGUCAAUGUCGGCGGACGCCGGUUUGAGAGGCGUUCUGGCGGGUAGUGCCCCGGGAGGGAAGGCUUCCAGUCGCCCAGGGCGACUUGGUGGCGCCGCGACAGAGCGCCGGUGCGACAGCGUUGCUGUGAUGACGGGAGGAGCGCAUCACACCUCAGCUGUUUCAGUGCCAGCCGCGAUGACAGCAGCAGCAGUAGCAGCGGGUGCAUCCGCCGGUUUGCCACUCAGCAGCAGUCAGCUGCGCCGCCAGGCUCGCAGGCAUGCCAUCCAAGCAGCGGAGAUGGGCCGGCCAGUCCUCGUGAAGCCUCUGUGGGCGCUGCACAUUGGGCGUCAUGCACUCGAUGUGCCCCUGCUUCAGCCAAUGGUGAGCCCCGACGGCCACGUAGGCAGCCGCUUCGCAUCAGCUGCGGCCGCAGCAGGGUCACCGCAGCCUUCGUCGGUUACCGGCGCCAUCGAGCAGGAGGCCGCCCCAGGUACCGCUGCCGGCAACCCAUCCGCGCUUCAGCCUUACGGAGGUGGACGAUCCUCCAUCAUGUCCAUACAGGGCUCUGUGGGUGGUACGACAACGAGCCAGCGUGCCGCGAAUUCAUCGGUUUUCUACGUCAGCUUGCCGUCGUCCACAUCAGCGCUACAAGAAAGCACCGCUGCCAGCAGCAACACCUGCAACAGCGUUGUCCGGCGAAGAGGCACGGUGGCUGGGUCGGCUGACCUUUGGCAUCGCCGCGUCAAUGGCCACAGCUGUGAAGGUGGUGAAGACACAGAGGCCUCCAACGCAACCCCAACGCUGUCUUCGAUAGGUGUGGCGGCCGCACAGAACACUCGGCGAUCGAGUUUGCGCACCCCGGCACGUUCUCUUCCCCGACAGCUGCGGCAGUGUAGUGCAAACGACAGUAGUGAUGGCGACGGGCCGGCAGUGGGUGGCCGGCGCUGCAGCAGUGGCGACGAUGACGAAGACGCCGGGCUGCUGAGCGACGACGGAGCUCUCAGCUAUGUAGGAGGCGCCGCCCCGGUGAUGAGCGCGGGCGGCAUGGCGGACAGGGCACAUAAAGAAGACGACAAUAGCGACGGUGACUACGGCACGGCCACCGAUGAAGACUUCGGGCUCGACAGGUCAGGCGCUAGUACCACAAGAAGCUGCUGCAGCAGCAGUGGUGCUAGUGACCGCAGCUCCAGCAUCGAAGUUAAUGAGGGCAUCGAAAUUGGUGGGCGUCGCGCGCUGACUAGCAACUCGAUGCGUCACUCGCGACACCAUCACCACCACGGCACAGACACUGCCGAGCCGGCGUUGUUGGCGCGCAGUCUGUCCCACAGGCGAGCGGAGAGCGCGCCGACGAUACUGCUGCGCCGCACUAGGAUCGCGGACGGUGCCGACAACGAAAACAGCAACGCCGGCGCAGUGGGGCUGCUGGAAACCCCUACCCCAACGAAGGCAGCCGCGCAUGUGUCUCUGGUGGGCCUUGUAGAGCAGAAAAGCGAGCGUCGCGCGCGUCAACGCCAUCGAUGGGCAGCCUCGAGAGGACAAGGCGAGAGGGGAGGUCGUGGACCAUCGCGUGAACGUCACGCACAGGUGUCCGUUUCUCGGCAGCAGUACGCACAACAGCACACUUCGGCACACAGCGCGUCUCCUCCUCUAGCCGCUGUCGCAUCAGCCCCAGUCGGCGCGGGGGUGCGACUGCCCACCUCCGUUGAUGUGUCAGUGGGGGCGUCGCAAGUCGCAGUGGCUCUCAGCUGCGAGGAUGGCCUCGCGUUGGAGCUGCGCUUUUCGAUUGUGCGCCUUUCCUCCCUCUCAAGGUGCGAGCGGAGGCUGCCACGCGGGACAGUUCGGCUUUACGACAUGCAAAAUCCGCGGGGCCGGCACGCCACGGCCGGCGCGGCCCGCAGAAAGGGCGGCGGUGCCACCAAAGGUUCCAGGCCGAGGGGUGAAGUUCCCGGUCGCGACGAUGGCGGCGGCUCCAGCAUGCGACCCGCCUCACCUUCGACAUCGCCGGAGGAUGCGCGCUUGCGUCAGCCGCACCGCAGCCGCGGCUCACAGCGGCAGCAGCCGCAACGAAAGGGUGCAUCGCCGGUGACGUACAACAUAUACUUGCCAGCACCAGCCGCGGGGCAGGUGGGGACAGCAGCGGCGCUGUCGUCACUGUCUCAUAUCUCCGGCUUAUCUUUCACAUCUUCGCAUCAACGGCAGUGCAGUCGGAGCGGUCGCCGUGGAUGCGGCGACGCAGGCGGUGCUCUGGCAACGACUACAGUAAUAAGCACCCCUGCGGUCACCAAUGUCGCUGGUGCUGCAGGAGUGUCGUUGGCGCAAGACGACACAGCGUGCCCUGCGUCAGCGACAGCGAACCAUCCUCUAGGGGUGUCGGCUGGCGAUGCAUCCAUGCUUGACGCAGACGGCGGAGCCGGCAGAAACAGCCGUGACGCGUAUGUCCAGCACUACCGGGAGGAUGCCCUUGUGUUGCAAGCUCAGUGUCUCUGGGCGGCGCGCCUCAGCGAUAGCCCUCUCGUGCAACGUUCUCGCGUGUUCAGCGUUCGUGAUCACCACCUCGAUAACGCGUUUUGCACGGUGUUCGUCGCCGCCAACGGCACCUGUUUUGCUGUUGACGGCGACACCUUGUCCGUCGUGGAGUGCUGCAUCAAGGAGGACUGCAGCUCCUUCACGCUGAUGGUUGGGCCGCUAUCCACGACGCCAAUGCUGCCGGCGAGGGCGAGUGCGACGACGCUGCAGGAGGCAACCGCGGACGCGUCCGCUUGGGUCAAAGAUGGGGUGGCGAACGGCGUGUCCGCGGCCACGAUGAGCUUCAAUGUUCUCCGCGGCGCAGUGGGGCGCACGAUAUCCUGUGUUUGCGUCGGCCUUGAUGAGUUGUGCGUGUACUCGGUCGGGGAGGCGAAUCAGCUGUGGGGGCGCCGUGACUGCUCCACCGGUGAGUCUGUUACCUCUGGCGCCAACGAGCAGAUCUCGCUUCUCUCGCGGUGCUUGCCGGACAAGAGCUGCGCGUCUGUGGCGGAGGCUGCCGGCGCGCUUACUGGUGAAGCGGGCCAGGGAAUGGAUGCCCCUGCGGGAUGCUCUCUAGCUUCCAUGGACUCGGGAGAGCAAGCGCUGCUGCGUCAACUCGCCGUGAGACUCCGUCAGCACGAGCAGUACGCCAGCCCCCCCUCCCACCAUGACAGAGGUACGGGUGCUGGCGCUGCCUCCGGAGGCGAGCAUGCGAUCGAGACCGAUGAAGAGGCUCUCAUGCGCGUGAAGAAACUGCUGCUCUACGACUACUCGGAGCAAGAGUGGGAGAGGCUGCAGUGGCUUGAUCAUGCCCUGACGUAAGUCUCUCCGUGCUUGUAGGUCUUCGAAGGUGUGUGCUUGUGUGUGUGUGUGUGUACUGCGAGUCGUUUUUUGUUGUUGCCUGCGCGGCAAACCCCAUGUGUGCGCGUGUGGUUCAACCCACCGCGUGCGCGAAGAUAAGCAGCAUGACCGGGAGACAAGAGAAAAAUGAGACAGCCACGACGCGUGAAUACCGUUAUGGUUGUGCUAGUAGCAGCGCCCCCUCCCCUCCUCCUCCCCUCCCCCUCUGCAGAAGGUGGCCAUUG